UACAGAGGGUGCGAGCGUUGUUCGGAAUCACUGGGCGUAAAGGGCGUGUAGGCGGUCCGCUAAGUCUGAUGUGAAAGCCCGGGGCUCACCCCCGGAAGUGCAUUGGAAACUGGCGGACUCGAGUCCCGGAGAGGAGAGUGGAAUUCCUGGUGUAGCGGUGAAAUGCGUAGAUAUCAGGAGGAACACCGGUGGCGAAGGCGGCUCUCUGGACGGUGACUGACGCUGAGACGCGAAAGCGUGGGGAGCAAACAGG
This 253-nucleotide ribosomal RNA is filed under the name uncultured bacterium. Its description in RNAcentral is "partial 16S ribosomal RNA". It matches the Rfam family "Bacterial small subunit ribosomal RNA", at positions 524 to 776 of the family's 1533-position model. The record is from RNAcentral.